ACGUUUCAUCCGCAAUUGGCUCAAUCCUUCGAUCUCCGACCCGCUGCAAACGAACGAAAGUCUGUGGCCUGGAUCGGCCCACCACUGCUCCCGAGGGAGGGGGGAGGAAAGAGAAGUCACCUCUUGUUUUAGGGGGUCUGUGUCUACGGUCCCUGAUGCGGAGCUCGGGAGAACAACUUUGAGUUAGUGUUUACGGAACUCCUCACAGCCUAGACUCUUUUUUUUGAAGGGAGAGAUUCAAAAUCUAUAGGCUGUUCCCUACUCGCCUCCCCCAUCGGGCACAUGGACGGGUCCCACCUGCAGGUGCGCAUGCGCUGAGGCGUAUUCUCGCGCUGGGUUACGGAGACGACAGGCCGCCUCCUGGCCCCUCCUCCCCUCGGUUCUGUCUGCUGAACCAGUAAGAAAAAAAAAAAAGAAGAAGAAGGAAAACACAUUUUUGUCCACGGUGACUUUGAGAUGGAAGGUGUUCCUUUCAACUGUAUCAAAACCAGCACAAUCCCUGUUUGAAGAUGCUAAGACUAAAAGGGCCCAGAAAGUUGAGUCCAGAGGUCACAUUCACUGAAGGGACGAUUUCAUACUUUGGAUAGUCUCCUAUUAAGUCUUUGACUUAAAACUGGCUGAAAUUUGGUUUUAUCUGGUGAUCUAAGGGAUCGCAAAGAGGACAGGUGAGGCUUUUCAGUUCUUGUUCAGAUUAGACAAAUUGCAAAAAAAAAAAAAAAUUCAC
Molecule: long non-coding RNA, 724 nt
Filed under: Mus spicilegus (steppe mouse)
Lineage: Eukaryota; Metazoa; Chordata; Mammalia; Rodentia; Muridae
Description: lncRNA (ENSMSIG00000002243.1)
Source: RNAcentral